GACCGUGUAGCUCAGUUGGUUAGAGCAUGGUGCUAAUACUAUUCCAAGUGUAACGCCAAGGUCUUGGGUUCGACCCCCAACAUGGUCA
This 88-nucleotide transfer RNA is filed under the name Venturia inaequalis. Its description in RNAcentral is "tRNA-Ile". It matches the Rfam family "tRNA". Rfam says of the family: Transfer RNA (tRNA) molecules are approximately 80 nucleotides in length. Their secondary structure includes four short double-helical elements and three loops (D, anti-codon, and T loops). Lineage: Eukaryota; Fungi; Ascomycota; Dothideomycetes; Venturiales; Venturiaceae. The record is from RNAcentral.